GUCCACGCCGUAAACGUUGGGCACUAGGUGUGGGUCCUCAUCAACGGGAUCCGUGCCGUAGCUAACGCAUUAAGUGCCCCGCCUGGGGAGUACGGCCGCAAGGCUAAAACUCAAAGGAAUUGACGGGGGCCCGCACAAGCGGCGGAGCAUGUUGCUUAAUUCGAGGCGACGCGAAGAACCUUACCUGGGCUUGACAUGUAGGGAAAAGCCGUAGAGAUACGGUGUCCGUAAGGGCCUUACACAGGUGGUGCAUGGCUGUCGU
Molecule: ribosomal RNA, 262 nt
Filed under: uncultured bacterium
Lineage: Bacteria
Description: partial 16S ribosomal RNA
Rfam family: Bacterial small subunit ribosomal RNA
Source: RNAcentral